CGGAGAGUUUGAUCCUGGCUCAGGAUGAACGCUGGCGGCGUGCCUAAUACAUGCAAGUCGAACGAGGAGCCUUGACACUUGUAUUCGUACUCGUGUUAGGGAUUUCCUAGUGGCGAACGGGUGAGUAACGCGUUGGUGACCUGCCCCAAAGAGAGGAAUAACAGCUCGAAAGGGCUGCUAAUACCUCAUGUGGUCAUGAGAUUUAGAAACUCAUGUCUAAAGGAGUAAUCCACUUUGGGAGGGACCUGCGUCCCAUCAGCUAGUUGGUAAGGUAACGGCUUACCAAGGCGACGACGGGUAGGGGACCUGAGAGGGUGGCCCCCCACACUGGAACUGAAACACGGUCCAGACACCUACGGGUGGCAGCAGUAGGGAAUAUUGCACAAUGGGCGAAAGCCUGAUGCAGCAACGCCGCGUGCGCGAUGAAGGCCUUCGGGUUGUAAAGCGCUUUUCUGAGGGAAGAGGAAGGACUGUACCUCAGGAAUAAGUCUCGGCUAACUACGUGCCAGCAGCCGCGGUAACACGUAGGAGGCGAGCGUUAUCCGGAUUUACUGGGCGUAAAGCGCGUGUAGGCGGUUUGGCAAGUCGGAUGUGAAAGCUCCUGGCUCAACUGGGAGAGGUCGUUCGAAACUGCUAGACUAGAGGACGAUAGAGGGAGGUAGAAUUCCUGGUGUAGUGGUGAAAUGCGUAGAUAUCAGGAGGAAUACCAGUGGCGAAAGCGGCCUCCUAGGUCGUUCCUGACGCUAAGACGCGAAAGCAUGGGUAGCAAACGGGAUUAGAAACCCCGGUAGUCCAUGCCGUAAACGAUGCGAACUUGGUGUCGGUGGUGUAAAAACUGUCGGUGCCGAAGCUAACGCGAUAAGUUCGCCGCCUGGGGAUUACGGCCGCAAGGCUAAAACUCAAAGGAAUUGACGGGUUCCCGCACAAGCAGCGGAGCGUGUGGUUUAAUUCGAUGCUACGCGAAGAACCUUACCUGGGCUUGACAUACUGGUGGUAGAGAACCGAAAGGGGAUCGACCCUCCGGGGAGCCAGUACAGGUGCUGCAUGGCUGUCGUCAGCUCGUGCCGUGAGGUGUCCGGUUAAGUCCGGUAACGAG
RNAcentral lists this ribosomal RNA (1096 nucleotides) under Anaerolineae bacterium. Its description in RNAcentral is "bacterial SSU rRNA". It matches the Rfam family "Bacterial small subunit ribosomal RNA", at positions 1 to 1096 of the family's 1533-position model. Lineage: Bacteria; Bacillati; Chloroflexota; Anaerolineae. The record is from RNAcentral.